AAACUGAAGAGUUUGAUCAUGGCUCAGAUUGAACGCUGGCGGCAGGCCUAACACAUGCAAGUCGAGCGGUAACAGGAAGAAGCUUGCUUCUUUGCUGACGAGCGGCGGACGGGUGAGUAAAACUUGGGAACUUGCCUUUAGGCGGGGGACAACCACGGGAAACUGUGGCUAAUACCGCAUAAUGUCUACGGACCAAAGUGGGGGAUCUUCGGACCUCACGCCUAAAGAUGGGCCCAAGUGAGAUUAGC
RNAcentral lists this ribosomal RNA (248 nucleotides) under Pseudidiomarina terrestris. RNAcentral's name for it is "partial 16S ribosomal RNA". It matches the Rfam family "Bacterial small subunit ribosomal RNA", at positions 1 to 245 of the family's 1533-position model. The record is from RNAcentral. Lineage: Bacteria; Pseudomonadati; Pseudomonadota; Gammaproteobacteria; Alteromonadales; Idiomarinaceae.